GCAGUCCAAGAAUAUUAGUCAAUGCUCGCAAGAGUGAACGAGCUAACUGAAAGAAUAUAUAAUCUAAGGUUAGGAAUCUUAUAAAAAUAUAUAUAUAUAAGAUUAAAUACGAAUCUAACUAACAGUGUCGUCCAACAACUGGUGCCAGAAGACUCGGUAAUACCAGAGACGCGAACGUUAAUCAUCUUGAAUGGGCAUAAAGGGUUUGUAGGCGGCUUAUUUAUUAAUAGGCUAGAAUCUUAGAGAGGUUAAUAAAAUACUUAGAGGAGGGCUGAUAUCCUUAGAUCCUAAGUGGAAUCCUAAUUGCGAAGGCCAUUUUCCACUACAGAUUGACGCUGAAAACGAAGGUUAGGAUAGGAACUAGGAUUAGAGACCCUAUUACCCCUAACUGUAAACGAUGAAUGGCAGAUAUUUACAUUAGUAAGUGUCGAAGUGAAUACGAUAACCAUUCCGCCUUGCCAGUAUACUUGCAAAAGUGAAAACAAAAAAAUUAGUCGGUCCUAAAGCAAACGAAGUGAAGCAUGUUAUUUAAUUC
Molecule: ribosomal RNA, 535 nt
Filed under: Cantharellus subamethysteus
Lineage: Eukaryota; Fungi; Basidiomycota; Agaricomycetes; Cantharellales; Hydnaceae
Description: partial 12S small subunit ribosomal RNA
Rfam family: Bacterial small subunit ribosomal RNA
Source: RNAcentral